CCUACGGGAGGCUGCAGCGACGAAUAUUCCGCAAUGCGCGAAAGCGUGACGGAGCAAUGCCGCGUGUGGGAUGAAGCGGUUUCGCCGUGUAAACCACUGUCAGGGGACAGGAAGAUCUGACCAUCCCCAAAGGAAGGGCCGGCUAACCUCGUGCCAGCAGCCGCGGUAAUACGAGGGGCCCGAGCGUUAAUCGGAAUCACUGGGCUUAAAGGGUGCGCAGGCGGGCCUGCAGGCGUCUUGUGAAAUCCCCCGGCUCAACCGGGGAAUUGCAGGGCGAACCGCAGGUCUUGAGGAAGGCAGAGGCGGGUGGAACCAUAGGUGGAGCGGUGGAAUGCGUAGAGAUCUAUGGGAACGCCGAAGGUGAAGACAGCCCGCUGGGCCUUUCCUGACGCUCAGGCACGAAAGCGUGGGGAGCAAACAGGAUUAGAUACCCCAGUAGU
Molecule: ribosomal RNA, 440 nt
Filed under: uncultured bacterium
Lineage: Bacteria
Description: bacterial SSU rRNA
Rfam family: Bacterial small subunit ribosomal RNA
Source: RNAcentral